CACAGUUGGUACAGGUUAAGUAGUGAUGUCAGAGUUGCUUCACGAGAGUACAGCAGUGUUAAAUUUGCUAUAGUGGGCGGAAAGGGUCUUCGAAGGACUUCACGACUGGCAACCCCUGGGUACGAAGUAGAGGUUGCAGCCUAUUACUGACAUGAGGAAUUGAACGCCUAAUAUGACUUACAUCCAUACAACAAGGAUUCUGCUUCAAUGCCGUACCUUUGAAAUAGGGUCUGCUUAAGAUACAUCUAUAUCACUACAAACUUCAUUAGCAGCUGAAGCAAACCUAGCAGAAGCGGCUUUAACUGCUCUGAAGGAAGAAUAUAACUGUAGUCAUAUUGAGGAAAGAAGCGAUUAGAACUGAUGGCCGCAAACUUCUGCUGCAUACAUGCAAGAUUGUUACCAUCCUUAGAUGUAAUAGAAUUCCAAACUUCAUAUAGGUGAGAUGUCAGCAGUAAUGUCACUGCCUACUCCAGGUGCUACAGUAGUGCCAUUAGCAGCCUCUUCGCAAAUAGCACCGAAGUGUGAUAACAUGGAGCAACAGUUGUGGAGUUUUUCUCUCCUGUUUUCAUGUAACAUAUAGAAGUGUUGUGUAUAUAUAUAU
Cryptotermes secundus is the source of this 601-nucleotide long non-coding RNA. RefSeq lists it as uncharacterized. Lineage: Eukaryota; Metazoa; Arthropoda; Insecta; Blattodea; Kalotermitidae. The record is from RefSeq and is a predicted model, not a curated record. The transcript has 3 exons.